RNAcentral lists this ribosomal RNA (274 nucleotides) under uncultured bacterium. Its description in RNAcentral is "partial 16S ribosomal RNA". It matches the Rfam family "Bacterial small subunit ribosomal RNA", at positions 523 to 796 of the family's 1533-position model. The record is from RNAcentral.
AUACGGAGGGUGCAAGCGUUGUCCGGAUUUAUUGGGUUUAAAGGGUGCGUAGGUGGUUUUUUAAGUCAGUGGUGAAAGCCUACAGCUUAACUGUAGAGGUGCCAUUGAAACUGGGGAACUUGAGUAUGGACGAGGUAGGCGGAAUUUGUGGUGUAGCGGUGAAAUGCAUAGAUACCACAAAGAACACCGAUAGCGAAGGCAGCUUACUAGGCCAUAACUGACACUGAGGCACGAAAGUGUGGGGAGCGAACAGGAUUAGAAACCCUAGUAGUCC